CACAUCGUCUGGUUUACAGUAGAUGUUAUGAAUGUCGAGCUGCCUGCAGGUCACAAGCUUGUUUCAGCGGGUUUGUUAGUGUAAUUCUGAUUUGUAAAUGAAUUUAUGUCAUGGUCCCUCCGUCCUCUGUGCUACUCCAUGGACCAGCUGUCCGUCCUGGUGAGAGCGCAGCUGAACCUGAUCAGUGAUCAGUGGCUGUUAAAGCCAGACUCUCCCAGCAGUCAGUGCUGGAUCAUUGUCUCUGCUGGCUCCCCACCAGCAGCUUCCCUCCUCUGUCCUUGCCUUGGCUCCCCGUCGCUGCGCUCCCGCAGCCCCGUCUCCGUUGCACGGUAGCAGCGCUGGCGCACGCCGCCACAGACUGCCGGCUGCAGAACCGGUCUGCCCCCCCCGCCCCGUUUGGACUUAUUUAAUUACCCACAAUAUAUGCAGCGGACAUGUCUGUUAACUCAACGUCCAACUAUCUCUACAUCUGUCCCACCAUUAAGGUCCAGGGGAAGGGGGCAGGGAAAAGGAGCGAGUUGACCAAUCAAAGCAGAGAGCUUUCUACACCAUCACAGUUAUAUCAGUCACAGUGUGGUUGUGGUUUGUUGGCCUCCUUCUUUCCCUGGCAAUGGAGACAUCACCUCUGUUGAGCCAUCAUCUCGCCUGUGUGUUGCCACUUCUUGUCAUCUGGUUGAACCUUCCCAGCAGUUUGGUGUCUCCUCUGCUGUAUCUGCACAGGGCUGGAAAACUGUCAUGGUGCUUUAGAAACAAGUAGUAAAGCCAAGGAUUGGAUUUAAAUAAAUCAGGCCAGCAAAGUUGGAAAGACUGGAUAAAAGUGAUGAUAAUGUCUAAUGUUCGAAUGGUUGCUAGGUUACAGCUUAUGCACAACUAAGAGAUGGUCAUGAUAUUCUAUGCAGUUAGUUGCUGUGGUGUUUUCUCAGCUUAUCAGAUAGUUGAAUAGCUGCCGGAGCUGCUUGGUUGUUGCCGGGUAAUUGUGAGGUUGAACUAAACUGCGCUGACAGAAUGUAUGAAUGUACAGUCUUGUGAAAAAGAAUUUGUCCAGAAAUCUUCCAUUUUGGCAUAUUUCUCGUACUGACAUGUUUCAGAUCAUCAAAAUAACAUCAUUUGUACUGAAUAUGAUACAGAUACAAUCCACAACCCAUGAUGUUUCAUUCAACCUAAUAAAUGGUUUGGCAGCAACAACUGAAAUUAAAUAUUUGUUCCAGUUUGUGAUCAGCCUUUUACAUCUCAAUGGAGGAAUUCUGGUCCUCUCUUCUCUGCAGAAUAGUUUUAAUUUGGUCACAUUAGAUGGUUUUAGAUCAGGAACUGCCCAUUUAAGGCCUUGCCACAGCAUCUCAGUUGGUCCAGAGUUAGACUCGGCUACUCCAAAACCUUGACUUUGUUCUCUUUCAGCCACUCAGAGGUGGACUUGCUUGUGGUCUUUGGGUCACUAUCUUGCUGCAUAAACCGUUGUGUUGAAGUUCAGGUCAUGAACUGAUGGUGGAUGUUCUCCAGGAGAAUUUUCUAAAAGAGAGCAGAAUUCAUGGCUCCAUCAGUGAUGACAAGUCAUCCUGAUGAAUGCAGUAUGAGCUUUACACUAGAUGGAACAGACCCAUGGCUUUCAAAAAAUUCCACCUUUGACUCAUCAGUCAAUAGAAAGUUAUCCCAAAACUUUUGGAGCUCUUCGAGUUAUGUUUUUGUAAAUACCAAAGGAGCCUUUAUGUUCUCUUUGGUCAGUAGUGGUUUGAUUCUUCCAACUCUCCCAUGGAUCCAUUUCCUCCCAGAGUCUUCCUUAUUGUGGAAUCAUGUAGAUGGACCUUAACUGAGGCCAGUGAGGUCUGCAGAUCUUUAGAUGUUCUUCUGUAUUCUUUUGUGACCUUCUGGAUAUCG
Amphiprion ocellaris (clown anemonefish) is the source of this 1872-nucleotide long non-coding RNA. The record is from Ensembl. NCBI's taxonomy places the organism in Eukaryota, Metazoa, Chordata, Actinopteri, Pomacentridae.